Molecule: ribosomal RNA, 478 nt
Filed under: uncultured bacterium
Lineage: Bacteria
Description: partial 16S ribosomal RNA
Rfam family: Bacterial small subunit ribosomal RNA
Source: RNAcentral
GACGAACGCUGGCGGCGUGCUUAACACAUGCAAGUCGAACGGUAAGGCCCUUCGGGGUACACGAGUGGCGAACGGGUGAGUAACACGUGGGUGAUCUGCCCUGCACUUCGGGACAAGCCUGGGAAACUGGGUCUAAUACCGGAUAGGACCACUGCCUGCAUGGGUGGGGGUGGAAAGCUUUUGCGGUGUGGGAUGGGCCCGCGGCCUAUCAGCUUGUUGGUGGGGUGAUGGACUACCAAGGCGACGACGGUGAGCCGGCCUGAGAGGGUGACCGGCCACACUGGGACUGAGAUACGGCCCAGACUCCUACGGGAGGCAGCAGUGGGGAAUAUUGCACAAUGGGCGCAAGCCUGAUGCAGCGACGCCGCGUGAGGGAUGACGGCCUUCGGGUUGUAAACCUCUUUCAGCACCGACGAGGCGCAAGUGACGGUAGGUGCAGAAGAAGGACCGGCCAACUACGUGCCAGCAGCCGCCGUAA